This 508-nucleotide ribosomal RNA is filed under the name uncultured bacterium. RNAcentral describes it as "partial 16S ribosomal RNA". It matches the Rfam family "Bacterial small subunit ribosomal RNA", at positions 30 to 523 of the family's 1533-position model. The record is from RNAcentral.
AUUGAACGCUGGCGGCAUGCCUAACACAUGCAAGUCGAACGGCAGCACGACCUAGCUUGCUAGGUUGGUGGCGAGUGGCGCACGGGUGAGUAAUGCGUAGGAAUAUACCUUAAAGUGAGGGACAACCUGGGGAAACUCAGGCUAAUACCGCAUGAGCUCUAAGGAGGAAAGCUGGGGACCUUUCGGGGCCUGGCGCUUUAAGAAUAGCCUACGUCCGAUUAGUUAGUUGGUGGGGUAAAGGCUUACCAAGACGAUGAUCGGUAGCUGGUCUGAGAGGAUGAUCAGCCACACUGGGACUGAGACACGGCCCAGACUCCUACGGGAGGCAGCAGUGGGGAAUAUUGGACAAUGGGGGAAACCCUGAUCCAGCGAUGCCGCGUGUGUGAAGAAGGCCUGCGGGUUGUAAAGCACUUUCGGUGGGGAGGAGGACUUAUAGGUUAAGAGCUAAUGAGUUGGACGUUACCCACAUAAGAAGCACCGGCUAACUCCGUGCCAGCAGCCGCGGUAA